GGUCUGCGGAGGACAUUACAAGAUGACCCCGGUCUUACCACCGGGAUGUUCAUAACCCUUUGUUGUCCGACUCUGUUGCCUCCGGGGCGACCCUGCCUUCGGGCGGGGGCUCCGGGUGGACACUUCAAACUCUUGCGUAACUUUGCAGUCUGAGUAAACUUAAUUAAUAAAUUAAAACUUUUAACAACGGAUCUCUUGGUUCUGGCAUCGAUGAAGAACGCAGCGAAAUGCGAUAAGUAAUGUGAAUUGCAGAAUUCAGUGAAUCAUCGAAUCUUUGAACGCACAUUGCGCCCCCUGGUAUUCCGGGGGGCAUGCCUGUUCGAGCGUCAUUUCACCACUCAAGCCUCGCUUGGUAUUGGGCAACGCGGUCCGCCGCGUGCCUCAAAUCGACCGGCUGGGUCUUCUGUCCCCUAAGCGUUGUGGAAACUAUUCGCUAAAGGGUGUUCGGGAGGCUACGCCGUAAAACAACCCCAUUUCUAAGGUUGACCUCGGAUCAGGUAGGGAUACCCGCUGAACUUAAGCAUAUCAAAAGGCGGAGGAAACACAAUAAAUUA
Molecule: ribosomal RNA, 554 nt
Filed under: Cladosporium cladosporioides
Lineage: Eukaryota; Fungi; Ascomycota; Dothideomycetes; Cladosporiales; Cladosporiaceae
Description: eukaryotic LSU rRNA
Rfam family: 5.8S ribosomal RNA (bases 176-329)
Source: RNAcentral